AGAGUUUGAUUAUGGCUCAGGAUGAACGCUAGCUACAGGCUUAACACAUGCAAGUCGAGGGGCAGCAUUGGGGUAGCAAUACUCAGAUGGCGACCGGCGCACGGGUGAGUAACACGUAUCCAACCUGCCGCUUACUCGGGGAUAGCCUUUCGAAAGAAAGAUUAAUACCCGAUGGUAUAAAGAGUUCGCAUGUUCUCUUUAUUAAAGAAUUUCGGUAAGCGAUGGGGAUGCGUUCCAUUAGAUAGUUGGCGGGGUAACGGCCCACCAAGUCUACGAUGGAUAGGGGUUCUGAGAGGAAGGUCCCCCACAUUGGAACUGAGACACGGUCCAAACUCCUACGGGAGGCAGCAGUGAGGAAUAUUGGUCAAUGGACGAGAGUCUGAACCAGCCAAAGUAGCGUGAAGGAUGACUGCCCUAUGGGUUGUAAACUUCUUUUAUAAGGGAAUAAAGUGAGGGACGUGUCCCUUUUUGUAUGUACCUUAUGAAUAAGGAUCGGCUAACUCCGUGCCAGCCGCCGC
This 518-nucleotide ribosomal RNA is filed under the name uncultured bacterium. RNAcentral's name for it is "bacterial SSU rRNA". It matches the Rfam family "Bacterial small subunit ribosomal RNA", at positions 8 to 518 of the family's 1533-position model. The record is from RNAcentral.